RNAcentral lists this transfer RNA (73 nucleotides) under Caudoviricetes sp. RNAcentral describes it as "tRNA-Lys". It matches the Rfam family "tRNA". From Rfam's summary of the family: Transfer RNA (tRNA) molecules are approximately 80 nucleotides in length. Lineage: Duplodnaviria; Heunggongvirae; Uroviricota; Caudoviricetes. The record is from RNAcentral.
GCACCUCUAGCUCAGUUGGUAGAGCAACUGACUCUUAAUCAGUGGGUCCAGGGUUCGAAUCCCUGAGGGUGUA